This 251-nucleotide unclassified non-coding RNA is filed under the name Glomeromycotina sp. Its description in RNAcentral is "partial contains small subunit ribosomal RNA, internal transcribed spacer 1, and 5.8S ribosomal RNA". The stretch from base 1 to 47 matches the Rfam family "Eukaryotic small subunit ribosomal RNA", at positions 1785 to 1831 of the family's 1831-position model. The record is from RNAcentral. Lineage: Eukaryota; Fungi; Glomeromycota.
AAAGUCGUAACAAGGUUUCCGUAGGUGAACCUGCGGAAGGAUCAUUAAAAAAAUUGUCUACCAUAUGGACGAUUUCAAAAUCCAUAUUCACCUUGUGUGCACAGUAAUUUGAAAACGGCGAGAUCUCUUUUCUCCGGAAAAGAAGUCUCGUGUGUUUUCCAACUACGCCUAUAACACUUGUCUGAAACUUUUUGAUUAUUAAAUCAGAAAUAUAAUAAAAACAACUUUCAACAACGGAUCUCUAGGCUCUC